RNAcentral lists this ribosomal RNA (460 nucleotides) under uncultured bacterium. RNAcentral describes it as "partial 16S ribosomal RNA". It matches the Rfam family "Bacterial small subunit ribosomal RNA", at positions 338 to 795 of the family's 1533-position model. The record is from RNAcentral.
CCUACGUGAGGCAGCAGUGAGGAAUAUUGGUCAAUGGACGAGAGUCUGAACCAGCCAAGUAGCGUGAAGGAUGACUGCCCUAUGGGUUGUAAACUUCUUUUAUAAAGGAAUAAAACGAGGCACGUGUUCCUUUUUGCAUGUACUUUAUUAAUCAGGAUCGGCUAACUCCGUGCUAGCAACCGCGGUAAUACGGAGGAUCCGGGCGUUAUCCGGCUUUGUUGGGUUUAAAGGGAGCGUAGAUGGGUUGUUAAGUCAGUUGUGUAAGGUUGCGGCUCAACCGUAAAAUUGCAAUUGAUACUGGCAGUCGUGAGUACAGUUGAGGUAGGCGGAAUUCGUGGUGUAGCGGUGAAAUGCUUAGAUAUCACGAAGAACCCCGAUUGCGAAGGCAGCUUACUAAACUGUGACUGACAUUGAUGCUCGAAAGUGUGGGUAUCAAACAGGAUUAGAUACCCUGGUAGUC